This 371-nucleotide ribosomal RNA is filed under the name uncultured bacterium. RNAcentral describes it as "bacterial SSU rRNA". It matches the Rfam family "Bacterial small subunit ribosomal RNA", at positions 527 to 896 of the family's 1533-position model. The record is from RNAcentral.
GUAGGUGACAAGCGUUGUCCGGAUUUACUGGGCGUAAAGAGCGCGCAGGCGGUCGAUCAAGUCGAGUGUGAAAGCCCCCGGCUCAACUGGGGAGGGUCAUUCGAUACUGAUCGACUCGAAGGCAGGAGAGGGUAGUGGAAUUCCCGGUGUAGUGGUGAAAUGCGUAGAUAUCGGGAGGAACACCAGUGGCGAAGGCGACUACCUGGCCUGUUCUUGACGCUGAGGCGCGAAAGCUAGGGGAGCAAACGGGAUUAGAUACCCCGGUAGUCCUAGCCGUAAACGAUGGACACUAGGUGUUGGUGGUAUCAACCCCGCCAGUGCCGAAGCUAACGCAUUAAGUGUCCCGCCUGGGGAGUACGGCCGCAAGGCUA